AAAUUCUACUAAUUCUUUUUGGUCGAAUACUACUAGCAUAAUGGUUAGUAUUGUAUAAUACACGAAGUUCCCGAUAGACAUGUCUUCCUUUAAAAAAAAAAAAAAAAAAAAAAAAAAACCAUUAAUUGAUUAUCUGGUUGAUUAUACCUGAGUUCCACGAAAGUCUGUCCGAAGACUUGUUGAGUGAAAGACCCGGCUUCCAUGAAACUGCAAACACUUCCAACCGAACGCGUUUCUGAACUAUGAAUAUAGUCUCCAACUCUCAACUCUCAACAAUAUAGCAUAUUUGUCUUUCUCUUUUAUGUUGAAUAACUUUUUCUUCUGUUCCGUAUGGAUCACGCUUUCCAAGCUUUAGUUGCCUGCACAUUAGUCGUCUUCUUUCUAACCGGGAUCAUUACUUUCUGGGUGUUCCGGUGUCGAAAACCCAAGAUAACCCAACUCGUAUCCACAACAACCCAGCUACCCUCCAUCACCACCGUCGAUCAGAGCGCUUGCUUCGACCCCAACCUCAAAUUCUCCAUGGCUGAGCUGAGGGCGGCCACCAAAAACUUCUCCCCAGAGUUUAUCAUCGGCGGAGGCAGCUUCGGAACCGUCUACAAGGCCCAGCUCUCCAACGGCGUCACCGUGGCCAUCAAGAGACUCAACCCAGACGCUUUCAAAGGCUUUAGGGAGUUUUGGGCGGAGAUGGUGAUUGGUGACACUGGGUAUGCUCCACCACCCAAAUAUCGCUAAGAUCUUCGGCUAUUGCAUGAGCGGCUCCGAUAGGCUCCUCAUAUACGAGUUUUUUCAGAACGGCAGUUUGGACCGUUGGUUGCACUUGGAGCCCACGUUAACGUUAUCUUGGGGGACCCGGAUUCAGAUUGUCAAGGGUGUGGCUAAUGGCCUCUCUUUUAUGCAUAGUUUGGACAAGCCCAUUGCUCAUCAGAAUAUUAAGUCCCGCAAUGUGUUCUUGGACUCCGAUUUUCAGGCCCAUAUUACUGAUUUCGGUCUAGCAAGGGGGAUUGACAACUCCACUUCUUAUGCAUCCACACAAUCUGCGGAUACAAUGGGUUACUGUUACAUGCCACCUGAGUACAAGGAAGGCCUCAAUUCAGCUACACUUGAGGCUGAUGUUUACAGUUUUGGGAUCUUAAUGUUCGAGAUUGCUACUGGACAGCGCCCCAAUUUGCCAACCCUUUUGGACGGGAAAGAGGUUGGGAUAGUCGAAUGGGCCAGGAAAAUGCUGGCCCAAGAUAAGCAUAUGCAAAUGGUGGAUACUAUUUUGAGGGAUGAUGGCCUAAUAGAGGCCCAUGUGAAAGAGUAUUUUGAAAUUGCAAAAAUGUGUGCUAGCGAGGUACGAAGAGAAAGGCCAACUAUGGCUAUGGUUUAUCAAUUGCUAAAUCCAAUUCCUGCGUGAAUUUGCAUUGCAUUUUCUAGAUUGUUUUUUUUUUUAAAGAAUAUUUUAAA
Molecule: RNA transcript, 1446 nt
Organism: Quercus lobata
Lineage: Eukaryota; Viridiplantae; Streptophyta; Magnoliopsida; Fagales; Fagaceae
Gene name: probable serine/threonine-protein kinase PBL8
Exons: 1
Source: RefSeq, a predicted model, not a curated record